Molecule: ribosomal RNA, 1304 nt
Filed under: Pedobacter sp. CO84Nov
Lineage: Bacteria; Pseudomonadati; Bacteroidota; Sphingobacteriia; Sphingobacteriales; Sphingobacteriaceae
Description: bacterial SSU rRNA
Rfam family: Bacterial small subunit ribosomal RNA
Source: RNAcentral
AUGCAACCUACCUUAAUCAGGGGGAUAGCCCGAAGAAAUUCGGAUUAACACCGCAUAAAAUCACAGUACAGCAUUGUACAAUGAUCAAAUAUUUAUAGGAUUAAGAUGGGCAUGCGUGACAUUAGUUAGUUGGCGGGGUAACGGCCCACCAAGACCACGAUGUCUAGGGGAUCUGAGAGGAUGACCCCCCACACUGGUACUGAGACACGGACCAGACUCCUACGGGAGGCAGCAGUAAGGAAUAUUGGUCAAUGGAGGCAACUCUGAACCAGCCAUGCCGCGUGCAGGAAGACAGCCCUCUGGGUCGUAAACUGCUUUUAUUCGGGAAUAAACCUACUUACGUGUAAGUAGCUGAAUGUACCGAAGGAAUAAGGAUCGGCUAACUCCGUGCCAGCAGCCGCGGUAAUACGGAGGAUCCAAGCGUUAUCCGGAUUUAUUGGGUUUAAAGGGUGCGUAGGCGGCUUUUUAAGUCAGGGGUGAAAGACGGUGGCUCAACCAUCGCAGUGCCCUUGAUACUGAAGAGCUUGAAUGAAUUAGAGGUAGGCGGAAUGUGACAAGUAGCGGUGAAAUGCAUAGAUAUGUCACAGAACACCGAUUGCGAAGGCAGCUUACUAUGAUUUUAUUGACGCUGAGGCACGAAAGCGUGGGGAUCAAACAGGAUUAGAUACCCUGGUAGUCCACGCCCUAAACGAUGAAUACUCGCUGUUAGCGAUACACAGUUAGCGGCUAAGCGAAAGCGUUAAGUAUUCCACCUGGGGAGUACGGUCGCAAGAUUGAAACUCAAAGGAAUUGACGGGGGCCCGCACAAGCGGAGGAGCAUGUGGUUUAAUUCGAUGAUACGCGAGGAACCUUACCCGGGCUUGAAAGUUAGUGAAUCAUUUAGAGAUAGAUGAGUCCGCAAGGACACGAAACUAGGUGCUGCAUGGCUGUCGUCAGCUCGUGCCGUGAGGUGUUGGGUUAAGUCCCGCAACGAGCGCAACCCCUAUGUUUAGUUGCCAGCACGUUAAGGUGGGGACUCUAAACAGACUGCCUGUGCAAACAGAGAGGAAGGAGGGGACGACGUCAAGUCAUCAUGGCCCUUACGUCCGGGGCUACACACGUGCUACAAUGGAUGGUACAGAGGGCAGCAAGCUGGUAACAGCAAGCAAAUCUCCAAAAGCCAUUCACAGUUCGGAUAGAGGUCUGCAACUCGACCUCUUGAAGUUGGAUUCGCUAGUAAUCGUAUAUCAGCAAUGAUACGGUGAAUACGUUCCCGGGCCUUGUACACACCGCCCGUCAAGCCAUGGAAGUUGGGGGUACCUAAA